ACAGUGGUGGUUCAGUGGUAGAAUUCUCACCCUCCACGUGAGAGACGUGGGUUCUAGUCCUGGCCAGUGCA
RNAcentral lists this transfer RNA (71 nucleotides) under Loxodonta africana (African savanna elephant). It matches the Rfam family "tRNA". From Rfam's summary of the family: Transfer RNA (tRNA) molecules are approximately 80 nucleotides in length. Their secondary structure includes four short double-helical elements and three loops (D, anti-codon, and T loops). Lineage: Eukaryota; Metazoa; Chordata; Mammalia; Proboscidea; Elephantidae. The record is from Rfam by way of RNAcentral.